This 1364-nucleotide ribosomal RNA is filed under the name Staphylococcus aureus M1010. RNAcentral's name for it is "bacterial SSU rRNA". It matches the Rfam family "Bacterial small subunit ribosomal RNA", at positions 8 to 1353 of the family's 1533-position model. The record is from RNAcentral. Lineage: Bacteria; Bacillati; Bacillota; Bacilli; Caryophanales; Staphylococcaceae.
AGAGUUUGAUCCUGGCUCAGGAUGAACGCUGGCGGCGUGCCUAAUACAUGCAAGUCGAGCGAACGGACGAGAAGCUUGCUUCUCUGAUGUUAGCGGCGGACGGGUGAGUAACACGUGGAUAACCUACCUAUAAGACUGGGAUAACUUCGGGAAACCGGAGCUAAUACCGGAUAAUAUUUUGAACCGCAUGGUUCAAAAGUGAAAGACGGUCUUGCUGUCACUUAUAGAUGGAUCCGCGCUGCAUUAGCUAGUUGGUAAGGUAACGGCUUACCAAGGCAACGAUGCAUAGCCGACCUGAGAGGGUGAUCGGCCACACUGGAACUGAGACACGGUCCAGACUCCUACGGGAGGCAGCAGUAGGGAAUCUUCCGCAAUGGGCGAAAGCCUGACGGAGCAACGCCGCGUGAGUGAUGAAGGUCUUCGGAUCGUAAAACUCUGUUAUUAGGGAAGAACAUAUGUGUAAGUAACUGUGCACAUCUUGACGGUACCUAAUCAGAAAGCCACGGCUAACUACGUGCCAGCAGCCGCGGUAAUACGUAGGUGGCAAGCGUUAUCCGGAAUUAUUGGGCGUAAAGCGCGCGUAGGCGGUUUUUUAAGUCUGAUGUGAAAGCCCACGGCUCAACCGUGGAGGGUCAUUGGAAACUGGAAAACUUGAGUGCAGAAGAGGAAAGUGGAAUUCCAUGUGUAGCGGUGAAAUGCGCAGAGAUAUGGAGGAACACCAGUGGCGAAGGCGACUUUCUGGUCUGUAACUGACGCUGAUGUGCGAAAGCGUGGGGAUCAAACAGGAUUAGAUACCCUGGUAGUCCACGCCGUAAACGAUGAGUGCUAAGUGUUAGGGGGUUUCCGCCCCUUAGUGCUGCAGCUAACGCAUUAAGCACUCCGCCUGGGGAGUACGACCGCAAGGUUGAAACUCAAAGGAAUUGACGGGGACCCGCACAAGCGGUGGAGCAUGUGGUUUAAUUCGAAGCAACGCGAAGAACCUUACCAAAUCUUGACAUCCUUUGACAACUCUAGAGAUAGAGCCUUCCUCUUCGGGGGACAAAGUGACAGGUGGUGCAUGGUUGUCGUCAGCUCGUGUCGUGAGAUGUUGGGUUAAGUCCCGCAACGAGCGCAACCCUUAAGCUUAGUUGCCAUCAUUAAGUUGGGCACUCUAAGUUGACUGCCGGUGACAAACCGGAGGAAGGUGGGGAUGACGUCAAAUCAUCAUGCCCCUUAUGAUUUGGGCUACACACGUGCUACAAUGGACAAUACAAAGGGCAGCGAAACCGCGAGGUCAAGCAAAUCCCAUAAAGUUGUUCUCAGUUCGGAUUGUAGUCUGCAACUCGACUACAUGAAGCUGGAAUCGCUAGUAAUCGUAGAUCAGC